RNAcentral lists this ribosomal RNA (253 nucleotides) under uncultured bacterium. Its description in RNAcentral is "partial 16S ribosomal RNA". It matches the Rfam family "Bacterial small subunit ribosomal RNA", at positions 524 to 776 of the family's 1533-position model. The record is from RNAcentral.
UACGAGGGGGGCGAGCGUUGUUCGGAAUUAUUGGGCGUAAAGGGUGCGUAGGCGGUUUGGGAAGUCUGAUGUGAAAUCUAUGGGCUCAACUCAUAGUCUGCAUCGGAAACUGCCGGGCUUGAGUGUGGGAGAGGUGAGUGGAAUUCCUGGUGUAGCGGUGAAAUGCGUAGAUAUCAGGAGGAACACCUGUGGCGAAAGCGAGUCUCUGGACAUUUCCUGACGCUGAGGCACGAAAGCCAGGGGAGCAAACGGG